GUCCUGUUUGUUUUGAGAUAAUAGAAGAAGCUCAUAUGACUAAAUGUGGCCAUACAUUUUGUUAUAAAUGCAUCACUGCAAGUCUAGAGCAAAGUAAUAGAUGUCCAAAAUGUAAUUAUGUUAUUGAGAAGAAAGAUCAAAUAUUCCCUAACUUCUUACUAAAUGAAUUAAUAACAAAAUAUCAGCAACAAAAAGAAAAGAAACGGAAAAUUGAAAAUUCU
This is a long non-coding RNA of Centruroides sculpturatus (bark scorpion), 221 nucleotides long. RefSeq lists it as uncharacterized. Lineage: Eukaryota; Metazoa; Arthropoda; Arachnida; Scorpiones; Buthidae. The record is from RefSeq and is a predicted model, not a curated record. The transcript is spliced from 3 exons.